AACGAACGCUGGCGGCAGGCUUAACACAUGCAAGUCGAACGCUCGUAGCAAUACGGGAGUGGCGGACGGGUGAGUAACGCGUGGGAACGUGCCCUGAGGUACGGAAUAACUGCGGGAAACUGCAGCUAAUACCGUAUGAGCCCCGUGAGGGGGAAAGAUUUAUCGCCUUAGGAGCGGCCCGCGUCGGAUUAGCUAGUUGGUGGGGUAACGGCUUACCAAGGCUUCGAUCCGUAGCUGGUCUGAGAGGACGAUCAGCCACACUGGGACUGAGACACGGCCCAGACUCCUACGGGAGGCAGCAGUGGGGAAUCUUGCGCAAUGGGGGCAACCCUGACGCAGCCAUGCCGCGUGAAUGAUGAAGGCCUUAGGGUUGUAAAGUUCUUUUGCCCGUGACGAUGAUGACGGUAACGGGAGAAUAAGCUCCGGCUAACUUCGUG
RNAcentral lists this ribosomal RNA (437 nucleotides) under uncultured bacterium. Its description in RNAcentral is "bacterial SSU rRNA". It matches the Rfam family "Bacterial small subunit ribosomal RNA", at positions 29 to 507 of the family's 1533-position model. The record is from RNAcentral.